This 403-nucleotide ribosomal RNA is filed under the name uncultured bacterium. RNAcentral's name for it is "partial 16S ribosomal RNA". It matches the Rfam family "Bacterial small subunit ribosomal RNA", at positions 28 to 526 of the family's 1533-position model. The record is from RNAcentral.
GACGAACGCUGGCGGCAUGCCUAACACAUGCAAGUCGAGCGAGCGGCGGACGGGUGAGUAAUGUAUGGGGACUGCCCGAUAGAGGGGGAUAACUACUUGAAACGGUGGCUAAUACCGCAUACUAUCGGAUAACCCAUAUGGGCUUAGCUAGUAGGUGGGGUAAAGGCUCACCUAGGCGACGAUCUCUAGCUGGUCUGAGAGGAUGCAAAGCCAAACUGGGACUGGGAAAGGGCCCAGAAGCCUACGGAGGCAGCAGUGGGGAAUAUUGCACAAUGGGCGCAAGCAUGAUGAAGCCAUGCCGCGGGGAUGAAGAAGGCCUUAGGGUUGUAAAGUACGUUCAGCGGGGAGGCGUUACCCGCAGAAGAAGCACCGGCUAACUCCGUGCCAGCAGCCGCGGUAAUUC